Molecule: ribosomal RNA, 253 nt
Filed under: uncultured bacterium
Lineage: Bacteria
Description: partial 16S ribosomal RNA
Rfam family: Bacterial small subunit ribosomal RNA
Source: RNAcentral
UACGUAGGGUGCAAGCGUUGUCCGGAAUUAUUGGGCGUAAAGAGCUUGUAGGCGGUUUGUCGCGUCUGCUGUGAAAUUUCGGGGCUCAACCCCGAACUUGCAGUGGGUACGGGCAGACUAGAGUGUGGUAGGGGAGACUGGAAUUCCUGGUGUAGCGGUGAAAUUCGUAGAUAUCAGGAGGAACACCGGUGGCGAAGGCGGCUUUCUGGACGACAACUGACGCUGAGACGCGAAAGCGUGGGGAGCAAACAGG